UGAAGAGAAGACAGUGAAUGCAAUCUUUCUGGAUUUUAAUAAGAUGUUUGAUACCUUCUCUCACAGCAUCCUUCUGGAGAAACUGCUCAACUAUGAGCCAGCAGUGUGUCCUGACAGCCAAAAGGACAAACCACAUUUUGGGGUGUGUUAGACACAGCACAGCCAGCUGCUCAAAAGAGGCAAUUCUUCAGCUAUAUUUAGUGCUGGUGCAACCACCUCUUAAAUACCAUGUGCAGUUCUGUGCUCCACAAUAUAGAGGGAAAGUUAAAAUACUUGAAUGGAUGCAAAAGAGGGUAUCAAAGCUGGUAAAAGUGCUAGAAGAUGUGUCCUGGGAGGAAAAGCUGAGGAUGUUCUGGCUGACUGGUAUAGAUGAAAGGAGGACAAGCCGUUAGGAGGAUGACAGCAACGACGGAUGUUAAUGAAGACCUUCCUGCAGAAGAAAAGAGAAAGAACGUGGGGAGAGGGGUGCCCUCCAGCUGAGGAGGGGACCCCGUGCGUGCGGGUGAGAUGGGGCUUAGCCCUGAAGUUUUCUAGGGUUCCCCUUGC
This 546-nucleotide long non-coding RNA is filed under the name Gallus gallus (chicken). RNAcentral's name for it is "lncRNA (ENSGALG00010025955.1)". Lineage: Eukaryota; Metazoa; Chordata; Aves; Galliformes; Phasianidae. The record is from RNAcentral.